Molecule: long non-coding RNA, 574 nt
Filed under: Anas platyrhynchos platyrhynchos (common mallard)
Lineage: Eukaryota; Metazoa; Chordata; Aves; Anseriformes; Anatidae
Description: lncRNA (ENSAPLG00000027402.1)
Source: RNAcentral
GAGGAGGUGAGGUAGGGGCAGGGGCAGGGGCAGGGGCAGGGGCAGGGGGAGGGGGAGUGAGGGGCUGUGAGGGGCACUGUGAGGAGCUGUGAGGCAGCUCCCCGCCGCCCGGAAAGUCUGGUUUUGUUCUUCUUAUUAUUUUUUUUUAAGUAACAAGCCUUUUGGUGGCACGGAGCAUGGCCGCGGCUGGCAGGAGGCGGCUGCAGCGCUGUCUCCUUCCCUUGCGAUGCGCCUCAAAGGCGGGGGCCGGGCGGGAUCUGGCUUUGAAGUAUACAAGCCGUGGCUAUGCAUCACAGCGUACUUUAAAUUGUUUUGUUUCUUUGCUUGUCCCUGAAUAAAGAAGUCAAGGUGAGACCCUGUGAAGUUUGACCAAACUUCCAUUUAAACCAGCACAGUUGGAGUUUUUGCUGAUUGUUAGCAGUAGCUGUCCAGGAUAACCAGAGAUCAGAAACGUGCAUCUUUGUGGUGCCAGGUCAUCGUGCUGCUCUUCCAGGGUUAGCAGGUAGUCACGCUGAUGUAACAUCAAAGCCAAGAGGCAAAAUAAAAUAAAUCUGUUUCAAGAGACUACUAAGCA